AAAACGACUCUCGGCAACGGAUAUCUAGGCUCUCGCAUCGAUGAAGAACGUAGCGAAAUGCGAUACUUGGUGUGAAUUGCAGAAUCCCGCGAAUCAUCGAGUUUUUGAACGCAAGUUGCGCCCGAAGCCAUUCGGCCGAGGGCACGUUUGCCUGGGUGUCACGC
RNAcentral lists this ribosomal RNA (164 nucleotides) under Quercus coccifera. RNAcentral's name for it is "5.8S ribosomal RNA". It matches the Rfam family "5.8S ribosomal RNA". From Rfam's summary of the family: 5.8S ribosomal RNA (5.8S rRNA) is a component of the large subunit of the eukaryotic ribosome. The record is from RNAcentral. Lineage: Eukaryota; Viridiplantae; Streptophyta; Magnoliopsida; Fagales; Fagaceae.